GAUGAACGCUAGCGGCAGGCUUAACACAUGCAAGUCGAGGGGCAGCGCGGGAUAGCAAUAUCCUGGCGGCGACCGGCGGACGGGUGCGUAACGCGUGAGCGACAUGCCCGUUGCCCGGGGACAACCGGUGGAAACGCCGACUAAUCCCCGAUGGGAUACGAUGCUUCAUGGCAUUGUAUUGAAAGUUACGGCGGCGACGGAUUGGCUCGCGUCCGAUUAGCUGGUUGGCGGGGUAACGGCCCACCAAGGCUGCGAUCGGUAGGGGUUCUGAGAGGAAGGCCCCCCACAAUGGGACUGAGACACGGCCCAUACUCCUACGGGAGGCAGCAGUGAGGAAGAUUGGUCAAUGGGCGGAAGCCUGAACCAGCCAUGCCGCGUGCGGGAAGGAGGCCCUAUGGGCUGUGAACCGCUUUUGCCUGGGGGCAAUAAGGGCGUCGCGCACGUCCGAUGAGAGUACCAGGCGAAUAAGCAUCGGCUAACUCCGUG
This 486-nucleotide ribosomal RNA is filed under the name uncultured bacterium. Its description in RNAcentral is "partial 16S ribosomal RNA". It matches the Rfam family "Bacterial small subunit ribosomal RNA", at positions 28 to 507 of the family's 1533-position model. The record is from RNAcentral.